Molecule: long non-coding RNA, 362 nt
Organism: Chiroxiphia lanceolata (lance-tailed manakin)
Lineage: Eukaryota; Metazoa; Chordata; Aves; Passeriformes; Pipridae
Exons: 3
Source: RefSeq, a predicted model, not a curated record
CACUUAUCAGACAUGUAAGAGCCAGACCAGCAUUUCUGAUCGUUAUCAAGGAUGAUACUUUGAGCUCUAAAGCAGUCACAUACGACCUGCGGGGCCAUGGGGACCAACUGAGCCAUCUAUACCCUGCAAAAGGAAACAAAGAGGUGUGUGAGCAUGGCUGGCAGAGCCCCUGGGAAGGACAUGGACUCAGUAACGAAGAGUGACACAGAAAGACAAGGGACUCACCCGGGGUCCUGGCUUUCCGUCUAAGCCAGAUGCUCCCUGUGUGGUUAGGUGGAAGCAUGGAUGAUGGGUACAACACCAAUGACAAGAACAUGAGAUUAGUAAGUGGUACUGAUGAAUAAACAUAAUUCAAACGUACA